Molecule: ribosomal RNA, 492 nt
Filed under: uncultured bacterium
Lineage: Bacteria
Description: partial 16S ribosomal RNA
Rfam family: Bacterial small subunit ribosomal RNA
Source: RNAcentral
AGUGAACGCUGGCGGUAGGCCUAACACAUGCAAGUCGAACGGCAGCACAGUAAGAGCUUGCUCUUACGGGUGGCGAGUGGCGGACGGGUGAGGAAUACAUCGGAAUCUACUUUUUCGUGGGGGAUAACGUAGGGAAACUUACGCUAAUACCGCAUACGACCUACGGGUGAAAGCAGUGGAUCUUCGGACCUUGCGCGAUUGAAUGAGCCGAUGUCGGAUUAGCUAGUUGGCGGGGUAAAGGCCCACCAAGGCGACGAUCCGUAGCUGGUCUGAGAGGAUGAUCAGCCACACUGGAACUGAGACACGGUCCAGACUCCUACGGGAGGCAGCAGUGGGGAAUAUUGGGCAAUGGGCGCAAGCCUGAUCCAGCCAUACCGCGUGGGUGAAGAAGGCCUUCGGGUUGUAAAGCCCUUUUGUUGGGAAAGAAAAGCUGUGGGUUAAUACCCCGCUGUUCUGACGGUACCCAAUGAAUAAGCACCGGCUAACUUCGUG